Molecule: ribosomal RNA, 364 nt
Filed under: Schmidingerella taraikaensis
Lineage: Eukaryota; Ciliophora; Spirotrichea; Tintinnida; Rhabdonellidae
Description: partial Bacterial large subunit ribosomal RNA
Rfam family: Bacterial large subunit ribosomal RNA
Source: RNAcentral
AUUUGAGCAGUAGCGGAGCGUUCUGUAGGCCGAUGAAGCCAUACCCGGGAGGGAUGGUGGAGGUAUCAGAAGUGAGAAUGCUGACAUGAGUAGCGACAAAGAGUGUGAGAGACACUCUCGCCGAAAGUCCAAGGGUUCCUGCUUAAAGCUAAUCUGAGCAGGGUAAGCCGACCCCUAAGGCGAGGCCGAAAGGCGUAGUCGAUGGGAACCAGGUUAAUAUUCCUGGGCCAGAUAGAAGUGACGGAUCUCGAGGGUAGUUCAUCCUUAUCGGAUUGAAUGGGCUGCUUAGAGGUUCCUGGAAAUAGCCCUCCAUGAGAUCGUACCCUAAACCGACACAGGUGGACUGGUAGAGUAUACCAAGGCG